CUUAAGUGCAUUUAUUACAUAACUCCCUAUGUAACAAUAUUUAAAGACAGCAUUAUCACUUCUGUACAUUGUGUGUCUUCAAGUGAAAUGUUCCGCUUGUUUUGUACCUGUUUGUCACCAUGUAAUAAAAUAUGAACUUGUGAUCUGCGUGAUGUGUUGACGUAAGGCAGAGUUUAACGUGACAGUGCUUUUAGCUCAAAGACUUCUUUGAUAGACUGAGGUGG
Pelobates cultripes (western spadefoot toad) is the source of this 224-nucleotide non-coding RNA. The record is from the annotation of a GenBank genome assembly. Lineage: Eukaryota; Metazoa; Chordata; Amphibia; Anura; Pelobatidae.